CCCUUAGAGUUUGAUCCUGGCUCAGAAUCAACGCUGGCGGCGUGCCUAACACAUGCAAGUCGAACGCGAAAGCCCCGCAAGGGGUGAGUAGAGUGGCAAACGGGUGAGUAACACGUGGGUGACCUGCCUUCGAGUGGGGGAUAACGUCCCGAAAGGGACGCUAAUACCGCAUAACAUGCUGCCUUUGAAGAGGUGGCCAUCAAAGCUGGGGAUCGCAAGACCUGGCGCUCGAUGAGGGGCCCGCGCCUGAUUAGCUAGUUGGUGGGGUAAUGGCUCACCAAGGCAACGAUCAGUAUCCGGCCUGAGAGGGCGGACGGACACACUGGGACUGAGACACGGCCCAGACUCCUACGGGAGGCAGCAGUGGGGAAUUGUUCGCAAUGGGCGCAAGCCUGACGACGCAACGCCGCGUGGAGGAUGAAGACCUUCGGGUCGUAAACUCCUUUCGAUCGAGACGAAGAACCGGGGGGUGAAUAGCCCGCCGGUGUGACGGUACCGAGAGAAGAAGCCCCGGCUAACUCCGUGCCAGCAGCCGCGGUAAUACGGGGGGGGCAAGCGUUGUUCGGAAUUACUGGGCGUAAAGGGCUCGUAGGCGGCCAACUAAGUCGGACGUGAAA
RNAcentral lists this ribosomal RNA (617 nucleotides) under uncultured bacterium. RNAcentral's name for it is "bacterial SSU rRNA". It matches the Rfam family "Bacterial small subunit ribosomal RNA", at positions 1 to 599 of the family's 1533-position model. The record is from RNAcentral.